UUGUGAUGAACCCUUUAGAUGACGAGUCUGAACUUGUCCCUGCGAAGUUUCUUCGUGGGGGCAUCAAUUGACGAGACUUUCUUUUUAAUACCAUUCAUGCUUUUCUGACA
Molecule: small nucleolar RNA, 110 nt
Filed under: Stereum hirsutum FP-91666 SS1
Lineage: Eukaryota; Fungi; Basidiomycota; Agaricomycetes; Russulales; Stereaceae
Source: RNAcentral